Long non-coding RNA from Pan troglodytes (chimpanzee), 2354 nucleotides. RefSeq lists it as uncharacterized. NCBI's taxonomy places the organism in Eukaryota, Metazoa, Chordata, Mammalia, Primates, Hominidae. The transcript is spliced from 2 exons. The record is from RefSeq and is a predicted model, not a curated record.
CACUGCAAACUCUGCCUCCAAGAUGCAAAUGAUUCUCGUGCCUCAGCCUCCCAAGUAGCUGGAAUUACAGGUGUGCACUACCACGCCCAGCUGUUUUUUGUAGAGAUGGGGUUAGUAGAGAUUUGUUUAAUAGAGACGGGGUUUCACCGUGGUCUCUACUAAACCCUGUCUCUACUAAAAAUACAAAAAUUACCCAGGCGUGGUGGCACAUGCCUGUAGUCCCAGCUACUCAAGAGGCUGAGGCAGGAGAAUCACUUGAACCUGGGAGGUGGAGGUUGCAGUGACCCAAAAUCAUGCACUCUAGCCUGGGGUCUCGCUUUUGCCCAGGUUAGAGUGCAGUGGCACAAUCACAGUGGCUCACUGCAGCCUCAAACUCCUGGGCUGAAGGGAAUCCUCCCACCUCAGCCUCCCAAGUAGCUAGGACUACAGGCAUGUGCCAUCAUGGCGAGUUAAUUUUGUGUGUGUUUUUAUUGUCUCGAGACAGAGUCUUGCUCUGUUGCUCAGGCUGGACUGCAAUGGCGUGAUCUUGGCUCACCGCAACCUCCACCUCCUGGGUUCAAGCAAUUCUCCUACCUCAGCCUCCCGAGUAGCUGGGAUUACAGGUGCGUGCCACCAUGCCUGGCUAAUCUUGUAUUUUUAGUAGAGACAGGGUUUUGCCAUGUUGGUCAGGCUGCUCUCGAACUCCUGACCUCGUGAUCCACCUGCCUCGGCCUCUCAAAGUGUUGGGAUUACAGGCAUGAGCCACUGAGCCUGGCCUGGUGAGCUAAUUUUUAAAUUUGUUAUAGAGACAAGAGUCUCUCUUAUGUUGCCCAGGCUGGUCUCGACCCCCUGGCCUCAAGUGAUCCUCCCACCUCAGCCUCCCAAAGUGCUGGGAUUACAGAUGGGUGUCACCGCACCUGGCCUCUGAGGAGGAUUUCAUUAUAAACCUGCCCUGAAGGGAGGGAAUCCAAUUUUACGAGAGGGUGUAGCCUGGUGAGGCCUGGAUGACCUCCGGAGGCAGGGGCUUGUGCCUGGGCUGAGGCCUAAGGGACAAUGGGCAGACAUGAAGUUGCCCCAGGCAGAGGGUACAGUGUGGGCAAAGUCAGGAAGUGGCAGGGCUUGGAUCACUCCAGGAAGAGAGAGGAGUCAUGUGUCACAGGAGCUCGAGACCCAGAGAGUGAGGCAGGCAGGCAGGCAGGGACCAAGCUUGGGCACAGCCAGGAAGGCAGGACAGGGCAUGGUGGGGCCAAUGGAAUCAUUACCCAAGACGGGGAUUUUCAGGGAAACAGCUUAGAUAAGGCCAGGUGUACAGUAGCUCCCACCUGUAAUCCCAGCAUUUGGGGAGGCUGAAGUAGGAGGACUGCUUGAGCCUGGGAGUUCGAGACCAGCCUAGGCAACGUAGUGAGACCCCAUAUCCACAAAAGAUUUUAAAAAAGGAGUUUGUGUUCCUGUAGUAGCAGACUUGGGAAGUUGAGGUGGCAGUGUCACUUGAGCCCGGGAGUUCAAGGCUAAAGUGAGCUGAUUGAGCCAUUGCACUCCAGCCUGAGCAACAGAGAGAUACGCUGUCUCAAAGGAAAUACAAAUUAAAAAACCAGCCGGGCAUGCUGGCGUGUGCCUGUAGUCUCAGCUACUUGGGACACUGAAGUGGGAGGAUCGCUUGAGCCCAGGAGUUCAAGGCUGCCGUGAGCUAUGAUUGUGCCUCUGCAGUCCAGCCUGGGUGACAGAGAAAGACCCUGUCUCUUAAAAAAAAAAAAAUCUUAGAUAAGAGGAUGCUGUGCCUCCCUGGGGGUCUUCAGUCACCCAUGGUCCUGGCAAGAGAGGAGGGCCAGGAGAGAGCUUCACCCACCUGCUGUCCUGCCCAUGUGACAUCCGCAGGUGCUGCCAUGGCCAUGACUGUUGUUACACUCGAGCUGAGGAGGCCGGCUGCAGCCCCAAGACAGAGCGCUACUCCUGGCAGUGCGUCAAUCAGAGCAUCCUGUGCGAACUCUGCAAGGUCAGUGCGACCACCCUGCUCCAAAUCCAAGAAAACAGAGGUUUCCAGAGGAAGGAGAAAUUGUGCCCAGGGUCACACAGCUUGCAAGAGGCAGAGUGGAAGUUGAUUCCAGCUCUGCCUGCAGGACCCUCUCAUUUCCCCUCUGUUUCCCUUCUUGACAAAGAAUCUUCUUCACUCUGGAGGUGCCACCCAUGAGAACAAAGAGCUCUGGAGAGAUGUGGAUUCCUGAAGAGCUGCAGGGGGACUGGGAGAGGGUUUUCUGACAGAACAAUCUUACCUCAAGAAGUCAGUUAGGGAUGGCUGUAAUAUUUCUUUUCACUCCCAGGUAAUACCAAAUUGUAAGUGCACUAGGACAUAAAGGAUACUUUUGUCCAUGGAAAAA